This 703-nucleotide small RNA is filed under the name Spiniluma oxyacantha. Its description in RNAcentral is "eukaryotic LSU rRNA". The stretch from base 279 to 434 matches the Rfam family "5.8S ribosomal RNA". The record is from RNAcentral. Lineage: Eukaryota; Viridiplantae; Streptophyta; Magnoliopsida; Ericales; Sapotaceae.
GUUUCUGUAGGUGAACUGCGGAAGGAUCAUUGUCGAAACCUGCCAAAGCAGAACGACCCGCGAACUAGUAUAUAGCAACCACUGGGGAUGCUUGUGGUGGGUUUCAUUGCCCCCACUCUCUGUCCCUUCGCUGGGUGCGCUAUUGAAAUGCGUUCCCCGGCUAAAAACAAACCCCGACGCGAAUCGCGUCAAGGAACUGUAACAAGAGAAGCGCGGCCCCUGUGCUCGUUCGCGAGUGAAGUUACGGGGGCAGUAGCUGCAUCUUUCAUGAACAUAACGACUCUCGGCAACGGAUAUCUCGGCUCUCGCAUCGAUGAAGAACGUAGCGAAAUGCGAUACUUGGUGUGAAUUGCAGAAUCCCGUGAACCAUCGAGUCUUUGAACGCAAGUUGCGCCCGAAGCCAUUAGGCCUAGGGCACGCCUGCCUGGGCGUCUCACAUUGCAUCACCCCGCAACCUGUGCCCGCAAAGGGUUUCUUGGGUUAAUGGAGCGAAUUUUGGCCCCCCGUGUGCCCAAGUGCAUGGUCGGCCUAAAGAUGAGUCCCUGGCGAUGAACGUCACGAUAAGUGGUGGAUGUGAUAACGUUGCGUCAUGUCGUGCACGUCUUUGUCCCAACGGGUUGCUUUUGUUCUUGACCCUGAAAGCACCGUUUUCACGGAGCCUCGAUCGCGACCCCAGUCAGGCGGGAUUACCCGCUGAGUUUAA